UACGUAGGGUGCGAGCGUUUGUCCGGAAUUAUUGGGCGUAAAGAGCUUGUAGGCGGUUUGUCGCGUCUGCUGUGAAAAUCCGGGGCUCAACCCCGGACUUGCAGUGGGUACGGGCAGACUAGAGUGUGGUAGGGGAGACUGGAAUUCCUGGUGUAGCGGUGAAAUGCGCAGAUAUCAGGAGGAACACCCGAUGGCGAAGGCAGGUCUCUGGGCC
RNAcentral lists this ribosomal RNA (214 nucleotides) under uncultured bacterium. RNAcentral describes it as "partial 16S ribosomal RNA". It matches the Rfam family "Bacterial small subunit ribosomal RNA", at positions 524 to 735 of the family's 1533-position model. The record is from RNAcentral.